UACAGAGGUGGCAAGCGUUGUUCGGAAUUACUGGGCGUAAAGGGCGCGUAGGCGGUCAGGUCAGUCCCGUGUGAAAUCCCUCGGCUCAACUGAGGAACUGCACGGGAAACUGCCUGGCUUGAGUUCGGGAGAGGGAAGCGGAAUUCCGGGUGUAGCGGUGAAAUGCGUAGAGAUGUGGAGGAACACCAGUGGCGAAGGCGACUCUUUGGUCUGUAACUGACGCUGAGGCGCGAAAGCGUGGGGAGCGAACAGG
RNAcentral lists this ribosomal RNA (253 nucleotides) under uncultured bacterium. RNAcentral describes it as "partial 16S ribosomal RNA". It matches the Rfam family "Bacterial small subunit ribosomal RNA", at positions 524 to 776 of the family's 1533-position model. The record is from RNAcentral.